GAUGAACGCUGGCGGCGUGCCUAAUACAUGCAAGUCGAGCGAACAGACGAGGAGCUUGCUCCUCUGACGUUAGCGGCGGACGGGUGAGUAACACGUGGAUAACCUACCUAUAAGACUGGGAUAACUUCGGGAAACCGGAGCUAAUACCGGAUAAUAUAUUGAACCGCAUGGUUCAAUAGUGAAAGACGGUUUUGCUGUCACUUAUAAAUGGAUCCGCGCCGCAUUAGCUAGUUGGUAAGGUAACGGCUUACCAAGGCAACGAUGCGUAGCCGACCUGAGAGAGUGAUCGGCCACACUGGAACUGAGACACGGUCCAGACUCCUACGGGAGGCAGCGGUAGGGAAUCUUCCGCAGUGGGCGAAAGCCUGACGGAGCAACGCCGCGUGAGUGAUGAAGGUCUUCGGAUCGUAAAACUCUGUUAUUAGGGAAGAACAAAUGUGUAAGUAACGAUGCACGUCUUGACGGUACCUAAGCAGAAAGCCACGGCUAACUACGU
Molecule: ribosomal RNA, 496 nt
Filed under: uncultured bacterium
Lineage: Bacteria
Description: partial 16S ribosomal RNA
Rfam family: Bacterial small subunit ribosomal RNA
Source: RNAcentral